RNAcentral lists this transfer RNA (73 nucleotides) under Aspergillus avenaceus. It matches the Rfam family "tRNA". Rfam says of the family: Transfer RNA (tRNA) molecules are approximately 80 nucleotides in length. Their secondary structure includes four short double-helical elements and three loops (D, anti-codon, and T loops). Further hydrogen bonds mediate the characteristic L-shaped molecular structure. tRNAs have two regions of fundamental functional importance: the anti-codon, which is responsible for specific mRNA codon recognition, and the 3' end, to which the tRNAs corresponding amino acid is attached (by aminoacyl-tRNA synthetases). tRNAs cope with the degeneracy of the genetic code in two manners: having more than one tRNA (with a specific anti-codon) for a particular amino acid; and 'wobble' base-pairing, i.e. permitting non-standard base-pairing at the 3rd anti-codon position. The record is from Rfam by way of RNAcentral. Lineage: Eukaryota; Fungi; Ascomycota; Eurotiomycetes; Eurotiales; Aspergillaceae. RNAcentral also lists the same sequence under 1 other name.
GCUUCUAUGGCUCAGUUGGUAGAGCGCGUGACUAGUAAUCACGAGGUCCGCGGUUCGAAUCCGCGUGGAAGCA